Molecule: ribosomal RNA, 252 nt
Filed under: uncultured bacterium
Lineage: Bacteria
Description: partial 16S ribosomal RNA
Rfam family: Bacterial small subunit ribosomal RNA
Source: RNAcentral
UACGUAGGCAGCAAGCGUUGUUCGGAGUUACUGGGCGUAAAGGGCGCGUAGGCGGCUUCGCAAGUGGAAGGUGAAAUCCCUCGGCUUAACCGAGGAACUGCCCUCCAACUGCGUUGCUUGAGGCCGGGAGAGGUGAGUGGAAUUCCCAGUGUAGCGGUGAAAUGCGUAGAUAUUGGGAGGAACACCAGUGGCGAAGGCGGCUCACUGGACCGGUUCUGACGCUGAGGCGCGAAAGCGUGGGGAGCAAACGGG